AUUUGUAUAGUUUAAAAAAACAUUACAUUUUCAUUGUAAAAUUAAGCUUUGUUUUACAAAUA
RNAcentral lists this transfer RNA (62 nucleotides) under Sclerotia substriata. RNAcentral's name for it is "tRNA-Glu". The record is from RNAcentral. Lineage: Eukaryota; Metazoa; Arthropoda; Insecta; Coleoptera; Lampyridae.